CGAGAGCCUCGAGCGUUAUCCGGAAUUAUUGGGCGUAAAGGGUGCGUAGGUGGCACUGUUAGUCUUCUGUCAAAGCCCCGGGCUUAACCUGGGAAGGGCAGAAGAAACGGCAGGGCUAGAAAGUAGGAGAGGUGUACGGAACUCUAGGUGUAGGGGUGAAAUCCGUUGAUAUCUAGGGGGAACACCAAAUGCGAAGGCAGUACACUGGCCUAUAUUUGACACUGAAGCACGAAAGCGUGGGUAGCGAAUGGGAUUAGAUACCCCAGUAGUCCACGCCCUAAACGAUGAUCUCUCGCUAUUCGGAGUAUCGACCCUCUGAGUGGCUUAGCUAACGCGUUAAGAGAUCCGCCUGGGAAGUACGGCCGCAAGGCUA
This 373-nucleotide ribosomal RNA is filed under the name uncultured organism. Its description in RNAcentral is "bacterial SSU rRNA". It matches the Rfam family "Bacterial small subunit ribosomal RNA", at positions 526 to 896 of the family's 1533-position model. The record is from RNAcentral.